UCUCCGUAGGUGAACCUGCGGAAGGAUCAUUACUGAGUGAGGGACCCUCGGGGACCAACCUCCAAACCGCGUUUAACGAACCUUGUUGCUUCGGCGGGCCCGCCUCACGGCCGCCGGGGGGCAGCUGCCCCCGGGCCAGAGCCAGCCGAUGCCACCUGUGAACGCUGUCUGAAGGAUGCAGUAAGAGACAAUUAUAAAAUUAAGUAAAACGUUCAACAACGGAUCGCUUGGAUCAGGCACCGAUGAAAAACGAAGAAGACAGGAAGAGAACCCAGUUGA
This 279-nucleotide unclassified non-coding RNA is filed under the name plant metagenome. Its description in RNAcentral is "partial contains small subunit ribosomal RNA, internal transcribed spacer 1, and 5.8S ribosomal RNA". The record is from RNAcentral.